UAGUCCAUGCCCUAAACGAUGUUAACUCGAUGUUUGGACUUCGGUUUGAGCAUCCAAGGGAAACCGUUAAGUUAACCACCUGGGAAGUACGUUCGCAAGAAUGAAACUCAAAGGAAUUGACGGGGGUCUGCACAAGCGGUGGAGCAUGUGGUUUGAUUCGAUGAUACGCGAGGAACCUUACCUAGGCUCUAAUGUGAGCGCAAUCUGCUGAAAGGCGGAGUUCCUUAGGGACGCGAAACAAGGUGCUGCAUGGUUGUCGUCAGCUCGUGCCGUGAGGUGUUGGGUUAAGUCCCGCAACGAGCGCAACCCCUAUUGUUAGUUGCCAGCGAGUAAUGUCGGGGACUCUAACGAGACUGCCCGCGUAAGCGGAGAGGAAGGUGGGGACGACGUCAAAUCAUCAUGGCCUUUAUGCCUAGGGCUACACACGUGCUACAAUGGCAGGUACAGAGGGUUGCGAAGGGGUGACCUGGAGCUAAUCUCAGAAAGCCUGUCCCAGUUCGGAUUGGAGU
This 509-nucleotide ribosomal RNA is filed under the name uncultured bacterium. Its description in RNAcentral is "bacterial SSU rRNA". It matches the Rfam family "Bacterial small subunit ribosomal RNA", at positions 791 to 1304 of the family's 1533-position model. The record is from RNAcentral.